Molecule: ribosomal RNA, 497 nt
Filed under: uncultured bacterium
Lineage: Bacteria
Description: bacterial SSU rRNA
Rfam family: Bacterial small subunit ribosomal RNA
Source: RNAcentral
GGCUCAGGAUGAACGCUAGCUACAGGCUUAACACAUGCAAGUCGAGGGGCAGCAUGAAGUCAGCUUGCUGACUUUGAUGGCGACCGGCGCACGGGUGAGUAACGCGUAUCCAACCUUCCCCUUACUCAGGAAUAGCCCGUUGAAAGACGGAUUAAUGCCUGAUGUUCUCUAUUUCCGGCAUCGGUAAUAGAGCAAAGAUUCAUCGGUACGGGAUGGGGAUGCGUAUGAUUAGCUUGUUGGCGGGGUAACGGCCCACCAAGGCAACGAUCAUUAGGGGUUCUGAGAGGAAGGUCCCCCACACUGGAACUGAGACACGGACCAGACUCCUACGGGAGGCAGCAGUGAGGAAUAUUGGUCAAUGGGCGAGAGCCUGAACCAGCCAAGUCGCGUGAGGGACGACGGUCCUAUGGAUUGUAAACCUCUUUUGUCGGGGAGCAACGAGACCACGCGUGGUCGAAGGGAGAGUACCCGAAGAAAAAGCAUCGGCUAACUCCGUG